Molecule: ribosomal RNA, 253 nt
Filed under: uncultured bacterium
Lineage: Bacteria
Description: partial 16S ribosomal RNA
Rfam family: Bacterial small subunit ribosomal RNA
Source: RNAcentral
UACGAAGGGGGCUAGCGUUGCUCGGAAUCACUGGGCGUAAAGCGCACGUAGGCGGAUUGCUAAGUCAGGGGUGAGAUCCUGGAGCUCAACUCCAGAACUGCCUUUGAUACUGGCGAUCUUGAGUCCGGGAGAGGUGAGUGGAACUGCGAGUGUAGAGGUGAAAUUCGUAGAUAUUCGCAAGAACACCAGUGGCGAAGGCGGCUCACUGGCCCGGUACUGACGCUGAGGUGCGAAAGCGUGGGGAGCAAACAGG